CAUGGGCGCAGCUGAUGCAGCCAUGCCGCGUGUAUGAAGAAGGCCUUCGGGUUGUAAAGUACUUUCAGCGGGGAGGAAGGUGUUGAGGUUAAUAACCUCAGCAAUUGACGUUACCCGCAGAAGAAGCACCGGCUAACUCCGUGCCAGCACGCCGCGGUAAUACGGAGGGUGCAAUGCGUUAAUCGGAAUUACUGGGCGUAAAGCGCACGCAGGCGGUCUGUCAAGUCGGAUGUGAAAUCCCCGGGCUCAACCUGGGAACUGCAUUCGAAACUGGCAGGCUAGAGUCUUGUAGAGGGGGGUAGAAUUCCAGGUGUAGCGGUGAAAUGCGUAGAGAUCUGGAGGAAUACCGGUGGCGAAGGCGGCCCCUGGACAAAGACUGACGCUCAGGUGCGAAAGCGUGGGGAGCAAACAGGAUUAGAUACCCUGGUAGUCCACGCCGUAAACGAUGUCGACUUGGAGGUUGUGCCCUUGAGGCGUGGCUUCCGGAGCUAACGCGUUAAGUCGACCGCCUGGGGAGUACGGCCGCAAGGUUAAAACUCAAAUGAAUUGACGGGGGCCCGCACAAGCGGUGGAGCAUGUGGUUUAAUUCGAUGCACGCGAAGAACCUUAACCUAAUCUUGAACAU
Molecule: ribosomal RNA, 625 nt
Filed under: endosymbiont of Sphenophorus levis
Lineage: Bacteria; Pseudomonadati; Pseudomonadota; Gammaproteobacteria
Description: bacterial SSU rRNA
Rfam family: Bacterial small subunit ribosomal RNA
Source: RNAcentral